This 120-nucleotide ribosomal RNA is filed under the name Colletotrichum fioriniae PJ7. The record is from RNAcentral. Lineage: Eukaryota; Fungi; Ascomycota; Sordariomycetes; Glomerellales; Glomerellaceae.
ACAUACGACCAUAUCUAUUAGAAAAUUCGGGAUCCCGUCCGCUCUCCCAUAAAUAAGCCAAUGAGAGCCGGAAUAGUAGUUGGGUCAAUAACAACCAGCGAGUACCUGGUGUUGUAUAUA